Erythranthe guttata (spotted monkey flower) is the source of this 439-nucleotide long non-coding RNA. RefSeq lists it as uncharacterized. NCBI's taxonomy places the organism in Eukaryota, Viridiplantae, Streptophyta, Magnoliopsida, Lamiales, Phrymaceae. The record is from RefSeq and is a predicted model, not a curated record.
CAAACCUUCAAGAUUCUUCAUAAAAGUCUCUCUUUUCCUCUUCUAAAAUCCUCUCAAAAUGCCUCUCUCUCCCUAAAUUCGAGAUUCCUCAAAUACACUCAAAGAAACAACCAUAUAAUCUCUCAAAACUCAUCUCCAAAGCAAUCCAAUACCACCCAUGUCAAGCCCAAAGACUUCCAAGCUAAAACUCCAUGGAUCCUUGGUUUCUUCUCCUUCUUAGCCUUUGAUUUUCAUGGGUUCUCGAAGUAAUCAGAGUGCGCAGCGCAGCGGAGUUCGAGGAAUCACGAACCUUGAUGCCUUGCACGUCUUACCCGGAUUUCGUAAAAUAUCAUGUUUUCACUUUCGUCUAUAAAAAGGUCUUAUGUACAAAAAUGGAGAUUUUCAUGAUUAUAUUUUACUCUGAUUUAGGAAUCCAGUCUAUUAAACGGGGGUAUUUAAA